GGGGAAUUUUGGACAAUGGGCGAAAGCCUGAUCCAGCCAUGCCGCGUGAGUGAAGAAGGCCUUCGGGUUGUAAAGCUCUUUUAGUCGGAAAGAAAGAGUUGCAAUGAAUAAUUGUGAUUUAUGACGGUACCGACAGAAAAAGCACCGGCUAACUACGUGCCAGCAGCCGCGGUAAUACGUAGGGUGCGAGCGUUAAUCGGAAUUACUGGGCGUAAAGGGUGCGCAGGCGGUCUUGCAAGUCAGAUGUGAAAGCCCCGGGCUUAACCUGGGAAUUGCGUUGGAAACUACAAGGCUAGAGUUCAGCAGAGGGGAGUGGAAUUCCAUGUGUAGCAGUGAAAUGCGUAGAGAUGUGGAAGAACACCAAUGGCGAAGGCAGCUCCCUGGGUUGACACUGACGCUCAUGCACGAAAGCGUGGGGAGCAAACA
This 426-nucleotide ribosomal RNA is filed under the name uncultured bacterium. RNAcentral's name for it is "bacterial SSU rRNA". It matches the Rfam family "Bacterial small subunit ribosomal RNA", at positions 356 to 774 of the family's 1533-position model. The record is from RNAcentral.